Molecule: unclassified non-coding RNA, 317 nt
Filed under: Hevea brasiliensis (rubber tree)
Lineage: Eukaryota; Viridiplantae; Streptophyta; Magnoliopsida; Malpighiales; Euphorbiaceae
Source: RNAcentral
AUUUGAAAUAACCUAGUUUAAUUAUUGUAUGAGGAUUCCUGCAUGUUUGCGACUUCUUGCAGUGUAUUUAAAUAAUUUCUUGUGUUAGAUGGUUGCUGAGCAUGUGCAACCGUCUCUGGAGCUAAAUUUUUUAUUAAAUUUCAAUAUUACAUGGAGUUGUUUGGGUCAGUUUCAUGAAGGAGAUGUGAUUAGCUUUAUGAUAGCUGUCAAUGUACCAAAACAUUUCACUUUUAUCUGGGUUUGGGACUGGCUAUCAUAAAUCUGGCACAGAGUCAAAUCUGAUAUGGGUAGAGUUUACUCAAAAAAAAAAAAAAAAA